UACGAAGGGGGCUAGCGUUGCUCGGAAUGACUGGGCGUAAAGGGCGCGUAGGCGGAUUGUACAGUCAGGCGUGAAAUUCCCGGGCUCAACCUGGGGGCUGCGCUUGAGACGUGCGAUCUUGAGUGGGGAAGAGGGUCGUGGAAUUCCCAGUGUAGAGGUGAAAUUCGUAGAUAUUGGGAAGAACACCGGUGGCGAAGGCGGCUCUCUGGACCGAGACUGACGCUGAGGCGCGAAAGCGUGGGGAGCAAACAGG
This 253-nucleotide ribosomal RNA is filed under the name uncultured bacterium. RNAcentral's name for it is "partial 16S ribosomal RNA". It matches the Rfam family "Bacterial small subunit ribosomal RNA", at positions 524 to 776 of the family's 1533-position model. The record is from RNAcentral.